GGGAUUAUGGCUCAGCCGGUAGAGCGUUGGUCUCAUAUGUUGUUCAUAUGAUCUGCUUAGACAGUAGAGUCAUCCAAAGGUCCUGAGUUCGAGCCUCAGUAGUCCCA
Non-coding RNA from Podospora appendiculata, 107 nucleotides. The record is from the annotation of a GenBank genome assembly. Lineage: Eukaryota; Fungi; Ascomycota; Sordariomycetes; Sordariales; Podosporaceae.